CUCUCCUCCCUGCUUCCCUGGGUUGGUUUUCCUCUGGAAAAUCAGAUAGGGUCUCACCAUGUUGCCCAAGCUGGUCUUGAACUCCUGGCACAAGCGAUCCUCCUGCCUCAGCCUCUGGAGUAGCAGGGACUACAGGCGCACACCACCACACCUGGCCAUAUACAUCACAUGUUGUUUAUACAUUCGUCUAUUGAUGGACAUGGGCAUCGCCUCCACCUUUUAAGGCUGGUCACUGCCGCCUAAAUUCUGUUUAAUUCUGUUUUUAAUUUUAAUUCUGCUCCUCUGAGAUGAGCCAGCUUGUGCAUGAUGCAAGGCUUGAAGGAAAACACGGCUGCAUGGAUCACUGGGCCACUGGACUGAGCUGCUUUGAAGCUGGCAAUCCAGGAACCUCUGGAUUUGUGGAUCUGUGAAGCAAUGAGUUUCUUCAUUGUUAAAUUGAGGUUUAGGUCUCUUACAGCUAUGAGCCGCCUAGAUGAUGCAUCUUCCGAGAAGUUGCCCAGUUUCAAAAAUUACAGAAGAAAACAAAAAUGAACAGAACCACAGAAAAGUGGAAAUUAUUUUGCUGAUGUGAAUGCUG
This 577-nucleotide long non-coding RNA is filed under the name Pongo abelii (Sumatran orangutan). RNAcentral's name for it is "lincRNA". Lineage: Eukaryota; Metazoa; Chordata; Mammalia; Primates; Hominidae. The record is from RNAcentral.